GAAAUGCGAUAAUUAAUAUGAAUUGCAGAAUUCAGUGAAUCAUCGAGUCUUUGAACGCACAUUGCGCCCCCUGGUAUUCCGGGGGGCAUGCCUGUCCGAGCGUCAUUGCUGCCCUCAAGCACGGCUUGUGUGUUGGGCUUCCGUCCCUGGCAACGGGGACGGGCCCAAAAGGCAGUGGCGGCACCAUGUCUGGUCCUCGAGCGUAUGGGGCUUUGUCACCCGCUCCCGUAGGUCCAGCUGGCAGCUAGCCUCGCAACCAAUCUUUUUAACCAGGUUGACCUCGGAUCAGGUAGGGAUACCCGCUGAACUUAAGC
Molecule: unclassified non-coding RNA, 314 nt
Filed under: plant metagenome
Description: partial contains 5.8S ribosomal RNA, internal transcribed spacer 2, and large subunit ribosomal RNA
Rfam family: 5.8S ribosomal RNA (bases 1-105)
Source: RNAcentral